GCGAACAGACGAGGAGCUUGCUCCUCUGACGUUAGCGGCGGACGGGUGAGUAACACGUGGAUAACCUACCUAUAAGACUGGGAUAACUUCGGGAAACCGGAGCUAAUACCGGAUAAUAUAUUGAACCGCAUGGUUCAAUAGUGAAAGACGGUUUUGCUGUCACUUAUAGAUGGAUCCGCGCCGCAUUAGCUAGUUGGUAAGGUAACGGCUUACCAAGGCAACGAUGCGUAGCCGACCUGAGAGGGUGAUCGGCCACACUGGAACUGAGACACGGUCCAGACUCCUACGGGAGGCAGCAGUAGGGAAUCUUCCGCAAUGGGCGAAAGCCUGACGGAGCAACGCCGCGUGAGUGAUGAAGGUCUUCGGAUCGUAAAACUCUGUUAUUAGGGAAGAACAAAUGUGUAAGUAACUAUGCACGUCUUGACGGUACCUAAUCAGAAAGCCACGGCUAACUACGUGCCAGCAGCCGCGGUAAUACGUAGGUGGCAAGCGUUAUCCGGAAUUAUUGGGCGUAAAGCGCGCGUAGGCGGUUUUUUAAGUCUGGUGUGAAAGCCCACGGCUCAACCGUGGAGGGUCAUUGGAAACUGGAAAACUUGAGUGCAGAAGAGGAAAGUGGAAUUCCAUGUGUAGCGGUGAAAUGCGCAGAGAUAUGGAGGAACACCAGUGGCGAAGGCGACUUUCUGGUCUGUAACUGACGCUGAUGUGCGAAAGCGUGGGGAUCAAA
Molecule: ribosomal RNA, 724 nt
Filed under: uncultured Staphylococcus sp.
Lineage: Bacteria; Bacillati; Bacillota; Bacilli; Caryophanales; Staphylococcaceae
Description: bacterial SSU rRNA
Rfam family: Bacterial small subunit ribosomal RNA
Source: RNAcentral